CAUGCAAGUCGAACGAAGCACUUAUCUCUGAUUCUUCGGAUGAAGAGGUUUGUGACUGAGUGGCGGACGGGUGAGUAACGCGUGGGUAACCUGCCUCAUACAGGGGGAUAACAGUUAGAAAUGACUGCUAAUACCGCAUAAGACCACAGAGCCGCAUGGCUCAGUGGGAAAAACUCCGGUGGUAUGAGAUGGACCCGCGUCUGAUUAGGUAGUUGGUGGGGUAACGGCCUACCAAGCCAACGAUCAGUAGCCGACCUGAGAGGGUGACCGGCCACAUUGGGACUGAGACACGGCCCAAACUCCUACGGGAGGCAGCAGUGGGGAAUAUUGCACAAUGGGGGAAACCCUGAUGCAGCGACGCCGCGUGAGCGAAGAAGUAUUUCGGUAUGUAAAGCUCUAUCAGCAGGGAAGAAAAUGACGGUACCUGACUAAGAAGCACCGGCUAAAUACGUGCCAGCAGCCGCGGUAAUACGUAUGGUGCAAGCGUUAUCCGGAUUUACUGGGUGUAAAGGGAGCGUAGACGGCUGUGUAAGUCUGAAGUGAAAGCCCGGGGCUCAACCCCGGGACUGCUUUGGAAACUAUGCAGCUAGAGUGUCGGAGAGGUAAGUGGAAUCCCCAGUGUAGCGGUGAAAUGCGUAGAUAUUGGGAGGAACACCAGUGGCGAAGGCGGCUUACUGGACGAUGACUGACGUUGAGGCUCGAAAGCGUGGGGAGCAAACAGGAUUAGAUACCCUGGUAGUCCACGCUGUAAACGAUGACUACUAGGUGUCGGGGAGCAAAGCUCUUCGGUGCCGCAGCAAACGCAAUAAGUAGUCCACCUGGGG
This 824-nucleotide ribosomal RNA is filed under the name uncultured bacterium. Its description in RNAcentral is "bacterial SSU rRNA". It matches the Rfam family "Bacterial small subunit ribosomal RNA", at positions 54 to 878 of the family's 1533-position model. The record is from RNAcentral.